Molecule: ribosomal RNA, 253 nt
Filed under: uncultured prokaryote
Description: partial 16S ribosomal RNA
Rfam family: Bacterial small subunit ribosomal RNA
Source: RNAcentral
UACGAAGGGGGCUAGCGUUGUUCGGAAUUACUGGGCGUAAAGCGUGCGUAGACGGUUUCGUAAGUCGGGUGUGAAAUCCCCGGGCUCAACCUGGGAAUUGCAUUCGAAACUGCGAGGCUAGGGUACGGAAGAGGGCGGUGGAAUUCCAGGUGUAGCGGUGAAAUGCGUAGAUAUCUGGAGGAACACCGAUGGCGAAGGCAGCCGCCUGGGCCACAACUGACGCUGAGGUACGAAAGCGUGGGGAGCAAACAGG